GAGAUGUUUCUUAGCAACAGGUGCAUCUCCGAGGAGACAGCGCUCAAGCACACGAUCGCGCAUGCACACCACACCUGACACCUCGAACCCGUGGUUGUUCAAGGGUCUAGACGUGUUCCGAGGAUUAGGGAGGCUUCCCACCUGCACCCCCCCCCCCCCCACCCCGCUGAGUGGAAACCUGUGGCGUUUUUCCAGCAAACCCGUCAGCGUCACGACUCCUCGAGGCCCGAGGAAGAACAGAUGGACUUGUUUGUGCGUUGACACUGGUCCUCAGAAGAAGCGUGUCCAAGCCACCGUGCGCCGCACCGACAGCUCGACAGGAUCCGUCACCCUGUGGGCUGGAAGCGCCACAAGGAGCUCAAACAUCAGCUUGAUGUGUGGAGACCACCGCUGUUCAUGAUCCGAGAUGUCACCACCACCAAGUGGAGACACCUUCUUGUUGCAGUCAGAAAAAUUCCAAACUGCAUCAUCUACUCAACUUACGGAAAUAACUGGGUCAGUAAGUAUGUAAGUCAAUUUGUUUGUGAUUCAAAGCCUCUUUUGCCCUUAAAUCACAAUCAAAAGCUUCAUAAUACAGAUGUCCAGAUCUGUAUUAUAGACCAUUGUAUUUUCAAGCUAAAUUCUGUUAAAAAAAAAAAAAAUACUCAGAUGAAGCUAUAAUACACAAUACUCUCUAAGGCUAUUUCCAACCAUCCAUGAUCAAUAAGCACUUGUUCAAAACAGCAGUGCAGGGGUCUGGAGCCUAUUCUGAAUACACAGGAUGCGAGAGUGGGCACACCCUUGAUGGAUAGGAAUUAUUUUUAAUUAACUUCAAACAACAUUUAAAACUGUUGCCAUUAAUAAACUGUAAAGAUUAAAUAAUAAUGAAGUAAAA
RNAcentral lists this long non-coding RNA (874 nucleotides) under Scleropages formosus (Asian bonytongue). Its description in RNAcentral is "lncRNA (ENSSFOG00015024401.1)". Lineage: Eukaryota; Metazoa; Chordata; Actinopteri; Osteoglossiformes; Osteoglossidae. The record is from RNAcentral.